UUUCCUACGGGGGGCAGCAGUGGGGAAUAUUGGGCAAUGGGCGCAAGCCUGACCCAGCAACGCCGCGUGAAGGAAGAAGGCUUUCGGGUUGUAAACUUCUUUUAUGAGGGACGAAAGAAAUGACGGUACCUCAUGAAUAAGCCACGGCUAACUACGUGCCAGCAGCCGCGGUAAUACGUAGGUGGCAAGCGUUGUCCGGAUUUACUGGGUGUAAAGGGAGCGCAGGCGGGAAG
RNAcentral lists this ribosomal RNA (233 nucleotides) under uncultured bacterium. RNAcentral describes it as "partial 16S ribosomal RNA". It matches the Rfam family "Bacterial small subunit ribosomal RNA", at positions 335 to 582 of the family's 1533-position model. The record is from RNAcentral.